RNAcentral lists this ribosomal RNA (730 nucleotides) under uncultured bacterium. Its description in RNAcentral is "bacterial SSU rRNA". It matches the Rfam family "Bacterial small subunit ribosomal RNA", at positions 46 to 787 of the family's 1533-position model. The record is from RNAcentral.
GCCUAACACAUGCAAGUCGAACGGGAAUAGGAUGAAACCUAGUGAUUCCUAUUCUAGUGGCGGACGGGUGAGUAACGCGUGGGUAACCUGCCUUGCACUGGGGGAUAACACUUAGAAAUAGGUGCUAAUACCGCAUAAGCGCACAGAACCGCAUGGUUCGGUGUGAAAAACUCCGGUGGUGUAAGAUGGACCCGCGUCUGAUUAGCUGGUUGGUGAGGUAACGGCUCACCAAGGCGACGAUCAGUAGCCGGCCUGAGAGGGUGAACGGCCACAUUGGGACUGAGACACGGCCCAAACUCCUACGGGAGGCAGCAGUGGGGAAUAUUGCACAAUGGGGGAAACCCUGAUGCAGCAACGCCGCGUGAGUGAAGAAGUCAUUCGUGAUGUAAAGCUCUAUCAGCAGGGAAGAAAAUGACGGUACCUGACUAAGAAGCCCCGGCUAACUACGUGCCAGCAGCCGCGGUAAUACGUAGGGGGCAAGCGUUAUCCGGAUUUACUGGGUGUAAAGGGAGCGUAGACGGCGACGCAAGUCUGAAGUGAAAUGCCAGUGCUCAACACUGGAACUGCUUUGGAAACUGUGUAGCUAGAGUGCAGGAGAGGUAAGUGGAAUUCCUAGUGUAGCGGUGAAAUGCGUAGAUAUUAGGAGGAACACCAGUGGCGAAGGCGGCUUACUGGACUGUAACUGACGUUGAGGCUCGAAGGCGUGGGGAGCAAACAGGAUUAGAUACCC